This 503-nucleotide ribosomal RNA is filed under the name uncultured bacterium. RNAcentral describes it as "partial 16S ribosomal RNA". It matches the Rfam family "Bacterial small subunit ribosomal RNA", at positions 28 to 523 of the family's 1533-position model. The record is from RNAcentral.
GAUGAACGCUAGCGAUAGGCCUAACACAUGCAAGUCGAGGGGCAUCACGGAGUAGCAAUACUUUGGUGGCGACCGGCGCACGGGUGAGUAACGCGUAUGCAAUCUACCUACAACAGGGGGAUAACCCGGAGAACUCCGGACUAAUACCGCAUAACAAAGGGGUCCCGCAUGGGAAUCUUUGUUAAAGAUUUAUCGGUUGGAGAUGAGCAUGCGUUCAAUUAGGUAGUUGGUGAGGUAUCGGCCCACCAAGCCUGCGAUGGAUAGGGGAACUGAGAGGUUUGUCCCCCACACUGGAACUGAGACACGGACCAGACUCCUACGGGAGGCAGCAGUGAGGAAUAUUGGUCAAUGGGCGAGAGCCUGAACCAGCCAAAUCGCGUGAAGGAAGACUGCCUUAUGGGUUGUAAACUUCUUUUGUACAGGAAUAAAAAGAGGGACGUGUCCUUCAUUGCAUGUACUGUACGAAUAAGCAUCGGCUAACUCCGUGCCAGCAGCCGCAGUAA